GUCGAGAAUCUUCCGCAAUGCGCGAAAGCGUGACGGAGCGACACCGCGUGAUGGAUGAAGUCCUUCGGGGCGUAAACAUCUUUUAUAAAGGAGGAAAUUUUUGACGUUACUUUAUGAAUAAGGGGCUCCCAAUCUCGUGCCAGCAGGAGCGGUAAUACGAGAGCCUCAAGCGUUAUCCGGAAUCAUUGGGCGUAAAGGGUGCGUAGGUGGUUUGAUUAGUCUCCCGUUAAAACUUCGAGCUUAACUCGAAAAGAGCGGGGGAAACGGUCAAACUAGAGUAUGUGAGAGGUGUGUGGAACUCAUGGUGUAGGGGUGAAAUCCUUUGAUAUCAUGGGGAACACCAAAAGCGAAGGCAGCACACUGGCACAUCACUGACACUGAGGCACGAAACCUAAGGUAGCGAAUGGGAUUAGAAACCCCGGUAGUCC
This 428-nucleotide ribosomal RNA is filed under the name uncultured bacterium. RNAcentral describes it as "partial 16S ribosomal RNA". It matches the Rfam family "Bacterial small subunit ribosomal RNA", at positions 354 to 796 of the family's 1533-position model. The record is from RNAcentral.